Myotis lucifugus (little brown bat) is the source of this 960-nucleotide long non-coding RNA. RefSeq lists it as uncharacterized. Lineage: Eukaryota; Metazoa; Chordata; Mammalia; Chiroptera; Vespertilionidae. The transcript has 2 exons. The record is from RefSeq and is a predicted model, not a curated record.
GAUUGGGUGAUUUGAAGUCCUGGUCCACCAUUUAUGACAGUAUAUGUAAACGUGCCCAGCAAAAUAUUUUACAUAGAGCAGAAUUUCAUAUCCAUGAAGGCUGGGACUACUUUGUGCACUGCUGUAUCAUCAACAUCCCAACAUCUAAAAUACUUCUGGGCACAUACUAGGUUCUCAAUAAAUAUUUGCUGAAUGAAUGAAUGAGCCAAUGAGGAAGAUAAGCUGCUAGAUUGAGAAAAAAACAAUGGCUGUGAUAUGGAAAUCAAGGAAGAAGUAUUUUAAGGAGGAAAGUGCUCAGUAGAUGUGCCAUGGAAAUGGCCAUGGAUCUGGCUGGAAACGAUACAACUGAUGUAAGCACAAAGCAGGUCACAGGGUAGAGCUGCACUGGUCAGUGUGGCAGCCACUAGCUGCAUGUGACUAUUAAGCACCUGAAAUGCUUGCUUAAAGGACUGGCUUAAAUAUAACAAAGUUCAACUGGGUAAUAUUGUAGCCAAGUAUGGCUGGGUAGCCCAGUUGGUUAGAGCAUGGUCCCAGUGCACCAAGCUUUCAGUUCGAUCCCCGGUCAGGUAUAUGCAAGAAUCAAGCAAUGAAUGCAUGAAUGUUUCUCUCUAAAAUCAAUGAAAAAAUAAAUUGUUUUAAAUAUUAAAAGCUGGGAAGUUGGUGGCAUGUUUGAAAAGAGCAAAAAAGGAGAGCAUUUGAAAUGGUAUUACAUAAAAACAUGUCUGUAAUAGGUAAGAGGCAAAGACAAUUAGAACAUAGGCAACAAAAGUUGCCUUUCAAGAGGAAGAAUACUAUAGAAUAAAUUAUUGGAUGUUUGAGAUAGAGAGAAAAGCCAGUCUUUCCUCGUUAGUGCCGAGAAGUUAGGCCAUAUAGUUUGGAGAAAUUGAAACAGCAUCUGAGGUUCUGCUAAGUUCCAAAUUCUAAAAAAUUUGGAAAAUUAAAAUCAAUAAGUUCAAACUG